GUAACAGAACAUGCUUGAUUGUGGGCAGUGAUAGUGCCAUGGGAUGAGAAAAGACUCCUGAAGACAGAGAUAAGCCUUCUGUUUCCAGUGCUCAUGGGCCGGAUGAAGCCAGCCUCAGGAUAAUAAACCAGUCCGCCAGGCUCCUCUGUCCAUGGGAUUCUGCAGGCGAGGAUACUGAAGUGGGUUGCCAUUUCCUCCUCCAGGGGAUCUUGCCAAGCCAGGGAUCGAAC
Long non-coding RNA from Dama dama (fallow deer), 230 nucleotides. RefSeq lists it as uncharacterized. NCBI's taxonomy places the organism in Eukaryota, Metazoa, Chordata, Mammalia, Artiodactyla, Cervidae. The record is from RefSeq and is a predicted model, not a curated record. The transcript has 3 exons.